Molecule: long non-coding RNA, 141 nt
Organism: Etheostoma spectabile (orangethroat darter)
Lineage: Eukaryota; Metazoa; Chordata; Actinopteri; Perciformes; Percidae
Exons: 4
Source: RefSeq, a predicted model, not a curated record
GAUAAAAGAUGCAUCAUAUUUUAAUUGUAAUAUUUUAUGAGUAAAAUGUGAAUCUGCAAUGUAACCAGUAACAUUUCUAUGUCAGGUAAAUGUAGUAGUACAAUGUUAUCCCAGAAGUAGAUGUUCAAAAUGAGUAGUGAA